This 254-nucleotide ribosomal RNA is filed under the name uncultured bacterium. RNAcentral describes it as "partial 16S ribosomal RNA". It matches the Rfam family "Bacterial small subunit ribosomal RNA", at positions 524 to 776 of the family's 1533-position model. The record is from RNAcentral.
UACGUAGGGUGCGAGCGUUGUCCGGAAUUAUUGGGCGUAAAGAGCUCGUAGGCGGUGUGUCACGUCGAUCGUGAAAACCUGCAGCUUAACUGUGGGCGUGCGGUCGAUACGGGCAUCACUGGAGUUCGGCAGGGGAGACUGGAAUUCCUGGUGUAGCGGUGAAAUGCGCAGAUAUCAGGAGGAACACCGGUGGCGAAGGCGGGUCUCUGGACGAAGACUGACGCUCAGGUGCGAAAGCGUGGGGAGCAAACAGG